GAGGAUUUAGCUCAGUGGAAGAGCACUUGCCUGGCAAGUGCAAGGCUCUGAGUUCAGUCCUCA
This 63-nucleotide transfer RNA is filed under the name Dipodomys ordii (Ord's kangaroo rat). It matches the Rfam family "tRNA". Rfam says of the family: Transfer RNA (tRNA) molecules are approximately 80 nucleotides in length. Their secondary structure includes four short double-helical elements and three loops (D, anti-codon, and T loops). Lineage: Eukaryota; Metazoa; Chordata; Mammalia; Rodentia; Heteromyidae. The record is from Rfam by way of RNAcentral.